This 833-nucleotide ribosomal RNA is filed under the name Escherichia coli. RNAcentral describes it as "partial 23S ribosomal RNA". It matches the Rfam family "Bacterial large subunit ribosomal RNA", at positions 354 to 1191 of the family's 2925-position model. Lineage: Bacteria; Pseudomonadati; Pseudomonadota; Gammaproteobacteria; Enterobacterales; Enterobacteriaceae. The record is from RNAcentral.
GCGAUACAGGGUGACAGCCCCGUACACAAAAAUGCACAUACUGUGAGCUCGAUGAGUAGGGCGGGACACGUGGUAUCCUGUCUGAAUAUGGGGGGACCAUCCUCCAAGGCUAAAUACUCCUGACUGACCGAUAGUGAACCAGUACCGUGAGGGAAAGGCGAAAAGAACCCCGGCGAGGGGAGUGAAAAAGAACCUGAAACCGUGUACGUACAAGCAGUGGGAGCACGCUUAGGCGUGUGACUGCGUACCUUUUGUAUAAUGGGUCAGCGACUUAUAUUCUGUAGCAAGGUUAACCGAAUAGGGGAGCCGAAGGGAAACCGAGUCUUAACUGGGCGUUAAGUUGCAGGGUAUAGACCCGAAACCCGGUGAUCUAGCCAUGGGCAGGUUGAAGGUUGGGUAACACUAACUGGAGGACCGAACCGACUAAUGUUGAAAAAUUAGCGGAUGACUUGUGGCUGGGGGUGAAAGGCCAAUCAAACCGGGAGAUAGCUGGUUCUCCCCGAAAGCUAUUUAGGUAGCGCCUCGUGAAUUCAUCUCCGGGGGUAGAGCACUGUUUCGGCAAGGGGGUCAUCCCGACUUACCAACCCGAUGCAAACUGCGAAUACCGGAGAAUGUUAUCACGGGAGACACACGGCGGGUGCUAACGUCCGUCGUGAAGAGGGAAACAACCCAGACCGCCAGCUAAGGUCCCAAAGUCAUGGUUAAGUGGGAAACGAUGUGGGAAGGCCCAGACAGCCAGGAUGUUGGCUUAGAAGCAGCCAUCAUUUAAAGAAAGCGUAAUAGCUCACUGGUCGAGUCGGCCUGCGCGGAAGAUGUAACGGGGCUAAACCAUG